GGCCAUAUCACGUUGAAACGCCGCUUCUCAUAUGAUCACCGAAGUUAAGCAACCUCGAGUCUGGUCACUACCUAAAUAGUUGACCGCUUGGGAAUAUCAGAAGCUGUAAG
Non-coding RNA from Acanthosepion pharaonis, 110 nucleotides. Lineage: Eukaryota; Metazoa; Mollusca; Cephalopoda; Sepiida; Sepiidae. The record is from the annotation of a GenBank genome assembly.